This 918-nucleotide ribosomal RNA is filed under the name uncultured archaeon. RNAcentral's name for it is "bacterial SSU rRNA". It matches the Rfam family "Archaeal small subunit ribosomal RNA", at positions 26 to 893 of the family's 1478-position model. The record is from RNAcentral.
ACCAUUAUCAGGAUCCGACUAACCCCUGCGAGGUUUCCUCGUAAGACAUGCCGAACUGCUCAGUAACACGUAGUUAACCUGCCCUAAGCUGGGGGAUAAUCGUGGGAAACUGCGCAUAAUACCCCAUAGGCGAUGAUAGCUGGAAGGCUACUUCGCUCAAAGCUUCCGCGGCUUAGGAUGGGACUGCGGCGGAUUAGGUUGUUGUCAGGGUAAGCACCUGACAAGCCGAUAAUCCGUACGGGUCGUGAGAGCGAUAGCCCGGAGAUGCAUUCUGAGACAUGAAUGCAGACCCUACGGGGUGCAGCAGGGGCGAAACCUCCACAAUGCCUGAAAGGGUGAUGGGGGGAUCCUGAGUGGAUUCGCUUUGCGGAUCCUUUUCUGCACUUUAGAUCGGUGCAGGAAUAAGUGGUGGGCAAGACGGUUGCCAGCCGCCACGGUAAUAACCGCGCCACGAGUGGUAGCCAUGUUUAUUGGGCCUAAAGCGUCCGUAGCCGGCCUGAUAAGUCUCUGGUGAAAUCCGAGAACAGCGAACCUGUUCAGGAUUUGCUGUCCAGAUGUUGUUCUUGGACACCAAAUUUGACAGAAAACUGUUGAGCGUGCUGGAGAUACUAUCAGGCUUGGGACCGGGAGAGGUUAGAGGUACGCUAUGGGUAGGGGUAAAAUCCUUUAAUCCAUAGCGGACCACCUGUGGCGAAGGCGUCUAACUAGAACGGGUCCGACGGUGAGGGACGAAAGCGUGGGGAGCGACUGGGAUUAGAUACCCCAUUAGUCCACGCCGUAAACGAUGCUCGUUUGGUGUCGCGGAACUUUAGGGGUCCCGCGGUGCCGUAGCGAAGGCGUUAAACGAGCCGCCUGGGGAGUACGUCCGCAAGGAUGAAACUUAAGGGAAUUGGCGGGGGAGCACUACCAGGGGUGGAG